UACGUAGGGCGCAAGCGUUAUCCGGAAUUAUUGGGCGUAAAGAGCUCGUAGGCGGUUUGUCGCGUCUGCCGUGAAAGUCCGGGGCUCAACUCCGGAUCUGCGGUGGGUACGGGCAGACUAGAGUGAUGUAGGGGAGACUGGAAUUCCUGGUGUAGCGGUGAAAUGCGCAGAUAUCAGAAGGAACACCGAUGGCGUAAGCAGUCUACUGGCUCAUUCCUGACACUAAGGCACGAAAGCGUGGGGAGCAAACAGG
RNAcentral lists this ribosomal RNA (253 nucleotides) under uncultured bacterium. RNAcentral's name for it is "partial 16S ribosomal RNA". It matches the Rfam family "Bacterial small subunit ribosomal RNA", at positions 524 to 776 of the family's 1533-position model. The record is from RNAcentral.